CAGAUACUAUGAAAUAUGACCAGGCAGAUUUGAAAAAGAGCCAAGUAAAACAUUUAUAAAUGAAAAAUAUAGUUGUUGACAUUAAAAACUCAAUGACCAAAUUAAACAGUAUAUAAGAAACAACUGAAAAGAGAAUUAUUUAACUAAUAUAUCUGAAGAAAUUACCUGGAAUAUAACACAAAGAGACAGGAAGAUAGAACAUCAAAGAGGGGUCAAGACAUAGAGGAUAGAAUAAGAUUUAAUAUAAUAGGAGUGGCAGAAAAGACUAGAGAAAAUAGAUGAAAAACCAAUAUUAAAAAAGAUAAUAAAAGAGAAUUUCCAGAACUGAUAAGAGAUGAGUUCCCAGAUAUAGAAAGUUAAACUACCCUUGCAAAAAUUACAACAGUGAGAAAGUUAUGACAGUGAAAGAGAUCUGACCUAACUGACUCCAUCCUGCGUUUAACCUCCAACCUGCCCCUCUUCCUUCCUGGGCAUAGGCUGAACUAACUUUGGGAGGAAUUUAGUUUAUAGUUUGAAACAAAGACGAUAACAGCCCCUCCCUGAAACAAACCUCCUCCUUGUGUGGGGACCAAACUGCCUCUGUAAAACUAACAGAUUAACCACAAGAUUAGAAAUUAUGGCUUAGGAGUUAUACAGCCAGAGGGCACCAGAUUCCUAACCUUCUAAUUGCUUUUGUGAAUAACAUCUAAGAUUGGUGUUUGGAAUAUUUUUCAGACUCUGCACUCUGAUGGAUCCAGUGGCGCCACCCAGACCAGUAAACUGGCUCCUCUGGUCUUGUGGCCACCAUCCAGGAGCUGACUCAGAGCAAGAGGACAGCCUGGACUCCCUGUGAUUUCAUCCUCAACCCAACCAAUCAGCACUCCCCAUUCCCUAGCCCCCUGCCUGCAAGACUGUGUUUCAGGGAGGCUAAUAGUAAAAAGAAUAGAAAAUAACCAAAUGUCAAGACUGCAACUGGGGUGGAGCCAAGCUGCUGCGGAUGUUGCCAAGGGCCCUUCCCGGGAGAGCCAGUUUUCCUUCCAGGAGGACAGGCCAUGCACUAAAAAACAGCUGCAGAGGAAAGGCUGGACCAGGUGUGCUGGGAGUCACCAGGAGCAAGGUGGUGAAGUGAAGAAACUGAGAUAGGAGAAGGGAUGGUGCCUGAGUCUGCGGCAGACCCUGAACUGGGCCACAUCUCCCAACUUGAGAUUGAAGUCGCUUUGAAAGCAGAGCACAUGAAUCCGGGCAACGUGACUUAAGAGCUGGCUGAUGUUCCAGGACAGCACAAAAGAACGGAACUUGUUUUCAUGCUAUGAUUCAUUGGGGGACAGAGCUGGGCCAGGAUCCUGGGACAGAAGGAGGAGGCGGGCCCAGGAAAGUCCACUUGGGGUAACACACAAUUUGUACAUAAAAAAGAAAUGUUCACCUCUUUGUAUGUACCGUAGUAAUUAUUUCACCUUCUUUUAUGAACUUGCACAUUUUCAGAGAGAGUUAAAUUAAGCAGAGUCUGAAAGUGGAGAAUUCUCACAUAGAUAAAAGAAUGGGGACCUGAAAUUGGGUCAUCAGGAAGUGUCUUGUGGCAAAAUACACUUAGUAUCGAACUGAAGGAAGAAAUAUUUCAAACAUUUUCUUUAAGGAAAACUUAAUGGAUGUGACUUAAUAUUGUCUAGACUGACCUAGCAGCACAAGGUGGUGCGUUCAAGGACUUUUCAUCUCAAUCCACAGGAAAAGGGUUCGAUUUAGAUGAGAAAGAGGGAGCGGGGCACAGCUAGACUGGAGAGGCAUCCUGUCCACGGAUUAGUCUUCACUCUUCAUGUGGGCAGUAGAAUGGUAAACGGGACCUUCUUAAAACAGCAGCUCCCAAACACUGGGAGGUUGAUGUGCUUCCUAAACCCUCACUGAUUCAUGAUGUUCGGCACAGUGUGGGGCCUCCCGAAAACGGUGCUGAUCAUAUGGAGUUUGUGGAACAUCUCCUAUGUGUACUACCGGGACUCUACUAUCCUCCGUGAUCACAAUUUCACUGGGGGCCAGUCGCCUAGAAGAUCUCACGGGGUGUCCAAUCUUUUGGCUUCCCUGGGCCACAUUGGAAGAAGACGAAUUGUCUUGCACCACAUAUAAAAUACACUAACACUAACGAUAGCUGAUGAGCUAAAAAAGAAAAUUGCAAAAAUAUCUCAAUGCUUUAAGAAAGUUUACAAAUUUGUGUUGGGCUGCAUUCAAAGCCAUCUUAGGCCACAUGUGGCCCGUGGGCCAUGGGUUGGACAAGCUUGAAGAUAGCCAUGAGACUACUGAUGACAAGAAUAAAGGUGGUUUAUUGAAUCCGUACUGUGUACUAGACUCUUCACAUGCAGAGCCUCAUUUAAUGCUCGUAACAAUCUCUUGAGGCUGAGACAAGCAUAUCCCCCAUCUUACAGAGGAAGAAGCCCACUCAGAGAAGCUAAGGAACUAACCCAAGAUCACACAACUAGAGUAGGGAUUCAAACCCAGACAAUGUGGAACCACAGACCACAACUUACCCACCAGCUGUUGUAAGUACACAGGGAAACCAGAGCAGGAGGGCAGAAAAAAGGAGGAGAUAUAUGGGGGUUAUAAGCAAGGUGUGGGUUAUAUGGAAGGUCAGUUGACAUCUUCUAUGAAUCCCCUGAAACCAGGAUGAAGAAUUUCAGACCAAAAGACUAUAGAGAGAGAAAAAAACUCCUGCUCCAAAUGAGAGAAGAGAAAGAGUGUUGACGGUAAAAUAUCAGUGAGACGCUGUGAUUUGUGCCUUUUGUCUUUUUCUAUCUGGCUCCCCUAGCAACAGUUAAGUAGUAAUGAAUGUAAAUGCUCAGUAACACGCCGGCGAGACUGUUCCACCAGGCGCAGCAUCCCUGGUAAACAGAAAUGCAUGCUAAUUUCUGCUCCGUGAAGCAUAGGAAACAUCACUAGGGGCUGCCCAGUGGAAAGGAACAAAAAGCAGAUGGAAAAAAUGUUUAAAUCUCAAGUUUAUGUGAGAACAGAAAAGAAGGAACAUGUUGUAAAUUAUUUUUUGAAAUAUUAAGCUACUAACAAAAUCCUAACACCAAGACAGACAACAGGGGUGGUAAAAGGGGAAGGAGAGACGGAGUCACAAUGGAGACGGUUUUGCUACAGCACAUCAUUAACCGCCACGUUUUUCUGCAGUAUCUGAAAAUAUCAGUCUUGGAAAUACCUAUGCAUUAUUUUUUCAGAGGUGUGUGUCUAUGGCCUCGGGGCUGGAGCUGGAAAACAAGCUAUUGCCAUGAGCUCAUGCUGGAGUCUGUGUAAAUUGUUUCCUCUCCUUAUGUAUAAUGUUUCUAAUUAGGACUGUUACAGAGGAUGAGCUCUGUGGGCUGUUGAAUUGACUCUUUGUGCUCACUGCAAAUCUAGGGCUUUAUGCCUGCCCAUGCUUGGGCCGACCUGCUUCUUAGAGGCAUCGCUAAAUGGGGAAGGUGACCCUGUCCUGCUUCCUGAUGUCUGAUAUCAGGGCUGUUGGGGAAACACCCAAGAGAUCUGCUGUCACCCCUGGAGUGAAUAGAUACAUGACUCUGGUUUCUAGAUGCAUAACUCUUGUUUCUAGUUGGCCCUUUUAUCCAAUUAUACCUUUAAUAAACAAAAGUCCAUUUUGAGGUCCUUUCUCUAAGAGACAACUAUUUACCUAAAAGUUGUAGGGUGAGCAGUAGACACUAGUUCCUCCCUCUGCAUCAAGAAUUUAAGAAAUGGGCUGGGCACAGUGGCUCACACCUGUAAUCCCAGCACUUUGGGAGGCCAAGGUGGGUGGAUCUCUUGAGAUCAGGAGUUUGAGACCAGCCUGGCCAACAUAGUGAAACCCCGUCUCUACUAAAAAUACAGAAAUUAUCUGAGUGUUGUGGUACAUGCCUGUAAUCCCAGCUACCCGGGAGGCUGAGGCAGGAGAAUCAUUUGAACCCGGAAGGCGGAGGUUGCAGUGAGCCAAGAUUGUGCCACUGCACUCUAGCCUCAGUGAUGGAGCGAGACGCCAUCUCAAAAUAAAUAAAUAAAUAAAUAAAUUUUAAAAGAAUUUUGGAAAUGUUUAGGGAAAGUGGAGUAGGACUCUGCUUCCCCAAGAUGCUGAGGCUUUGCAGAGAGGAUGUGACCCAGAGGGUAUGAGUCUCCCCGGCUUGGACCCACUCCUGCUCCCGACCUCUGACAUGUUUCUAGGUCAGACACACUUAGAAAAUUAAUCCUCAGCCAUCUGAGUAGCUGAUUGUCAGCAGGCAAUUCCCUUCCACCGGUAAAACUUCAGUCAGCUACGCUGGGCGAUGCAUAGAAAUACAGUAUUGGCUUGGCUUAGAGGUCUCCAGACACUUGGUCCCAGAGGACCAAGUAAAGGUUGCUUGUUAAUCUAGUACGACAUUCCCACUGUGGGACCUGUUAGGCUCCACACUGAAGAGGUGCCAGGAAUUCAAGGAGAGUGGAGGCUGGUGCUGAAAAGCUUCCCCCAGUGAUUCUGAUAUGCUCAGAGGGGGUGAUGGUGGUGGUCUUGGGCAGGCUUCCCAUUGUGUCAGGCCCAUGGUCACUAAUUCUUGUCCAGACCUGCAGAGCCAGAAUAGCCCAGCCCACAGAGCAGAAGCCACAGUGUAAGAAGCCCGACCUGGGCCAGAAAGCCUGACGAUGUCAGAAAAAAAUCCCCAUCAGUGUGAUGCCAUGGAAACCCUAGACAGCAGGCAGAUCUUUCUUCCUACGAGCCCAUUGGCACCUCCCUGGGAACUGGGAGCUGAGUAGGGAGGUAAAUCCCAGAAGCCAACAGAACACAGGUUUCAUGGAGAGCCUGGAUGCAAACCAGCAGUAGAGGACUGCUGCUCGGCACUGCGGAGGUGCUCAUGCCUUGCACCUGGUGGUUUGCCAAUGGACAAUUUCUCCAUGACCUAGUUUUCUACCUGGUCUGAAAUGAGAAAAAAUAAGUACAGCAUAGCAAGUUUUUCAUUAAGCUAAAUUUGUUCUAUUUAAAGAACUGCCAUUUGUUCUGGAACUAUGUCCUUUCUACUUUUUUUGGUGGAAGAAAAGUACUUUUAAGAAACAGAUGUGACAAUGUGGUAGUGGAUGACAACAUUUUUUGGUGUUGCUUUUUAAUAUUUCUAUUUUUCAAAAUAAAACCUGGCAACACUGUGUUAGUCCUCUGUUUUGUUUGUUUGCAUGCUUGCUUUUGCUUCUGUGUGUGGCGGAUUAGGGAUGGACACAAACUCUUUGGAACUUUUCAUACUGAAAGGUGCACCUAAUUUGCCUUCUCUUAAAUCUGGGCUGGCCUUAGUGACUUACUUGACUAAUAAAAUGUGGUGCGCAUGACCGCAUAGGUCUUCUGAAACUAGAUCACGGGAAACCCUGCAGCUUCCUUUCCAGGCCUCUUGGAACACUUAC
RNAcentral lists this long non-coding RNA (5346 nucleotides) under Homo sapiens (human). RNAcentral's name for it is "HSALNT0111440". Lineage: Eukaryota; Metazoa; Chordata; Mammalia; Primates; Hominidae. The record is from RNAcentral.